This 240-nucleotide unclassified non-coding RNA is filed under the name soil metagenome. Its description in RNAcentral is "partial contains 5.8S ribosomal RNA, internal transcribed spacer 2, and large subunit ribosomal RNA". The record is from RNAcentral.
AACGGUCUAUACCUGCGGUACCUGCGGAAGGAUCAUUAACAAAUUAUCCAACUAUGGAUAAUUUUAUCCAUACCCACCUUGUGUGAAUCAGUGAAAUGUUAGUUGGCAGGUGAGUCGAUCGCGACAGAAGCGAGAGGGAUUUUCCCUCUCGGCCUGCCAAUUUUUAUUGUCUCGACACGUCUAUAUUUUUAUCGACUGAAAUAAAAUUAACAAAAUAAUAAAUACAACUUUCAACAACGG